AUUUAUGGCGGCUGCGCGUGGGAGGCUUUCGAGCCUGCCGAGUUCUAUGUCCUCGGUCUUGCACACCCACGUACAGCUGCCACCCUC
This 87-nucleotide non-coding RNA is filed under the name Pseudomonas taetrolens. Lineage: Bacteria; Pseudomonadati; Pseudomonadota; Gammaproteobacteria; Pseudomonadales; Pseudomonadaceae. The record is from RNAcentral.